GCGGUUGUGGCGAAGCGGUUAACGCACCGGAUUGUGGCUCCGGCAUCGGAGGGUUCAACUCCCUUCAGCCGCCCCA
RNAcentral lists this transfer RNA (76 nucleotides) under Paracholeplasma vituli. RNAcentral describes it as "tRNA-His". It matches the Rfam family "tRNA". Rfam says of the family: Transfer RNA (tRNA) molecules are approximately 80 nucleotides in length. Their secondary structure includes four short double-helical elements and three loops (D, anti-codon, and T loops). The record is from RNAcentral. Lineage: Bacteria; Bacillati; Mycoplasmatota; Mollicutes; Acholeplasmatales; Acholeplasmataceae.